CCAGCAGCCGCGGUAAUUCCAGCUCUAAUAGUGUAUAUUAAAGUUGUUGCAGUUAAAAAGCUCGUAGUUGAACUUCUGGCCGUGGCUAGAGUUGGCUUUGGUCGCUCUAGUCGCGGUCAUCCGUCUGCAAACCAUAUUCGGUCUUCACUGGUCGAUAUGGGGAGUAGACAUUUUACCUUGAAAAAAUUAGAGUGUUUAAGGCAGGCUUUUGCCAGAAUACAUUAGCAUGGAAUAAUGGAAUAGGACUCGUCCAUUUUGUUGGUUAUUGAAACGAGUAAUGAUUAAAAGGGACAGUUGGGGGCAUUAGUAUUUAAUUGUCAGAGGUGAAAUUCUUGGAUUUAUUA
Molecule: ribosomal RNA, 344 nt
Filed under: uncultured eukaryote
Lineage: Eukaryota
Description: SSU rRNA
Rfam family: Eukaryotic small subunit ribosomal RNA
Source: RNAcentral